Molecule: long non-coding RNA, 95 nt
Organism: Sander lucioperca (pikeperch)
Lineage: Eukaryota; Metazoa; Chordata; Actinopteri; Perciformes; Percidae
Exons: 3
Source: RefSeq, a predicted model, not a curated record
UUGGAGGGUGUUUGUGGUUGCAGACCGGAGGGUGCGUGAGGAGGUCUGGGGGGUGAGGAGUUCCUGUAGGUAAAGGGGGGCAUCACCAUGAAUGC